CAUUUACCCUGUAAAAACGACUAUUUAUGCGUCGGUGCUUUGAUAAAACCAUGCAGCGAAAGAAAAUGGAAGAAGAUAAACCCGGAGCUUUUAUAUCAUAUAAUUUUUUUCCAGCAGUCAUCUUCUGCCAGUUAAUUCUCCUACCUUUUCCAUUUCAUAUUUAGAAUCUUUUAGUCAGGUCACAAACGCGCCAUAAUUCCUACGGUCCUGUGCAAUUCAUUCGCUGCGAUUUUUUACAUUUUGUCCCUCCGCGAAAAUAGAGAGAGGAAAAAGAAGACAUAGAUACUUCACAAAUGUUUCGAAUGGGAACACAAACUGCAGAGAGA
This 326-nucleotide unclassified non-coding RNA is filed under the name Bombus terrestris (buff-tailed bumblebee). RNAcentral's name for it is "misc RNA ENSBTSG00005037009.1". Lineage: Eukaryota; Metazoa; Arthropoda; Insecta; Hymenoptera; Apidae. The record is from RNAcentral.